AUGUCCAGCAAUGGCGGCCCAACAGUCGCCGUCAAGCUGUUCAUCGACAAGGAGAAGAAGAGGGUGCUGUUCGCGGAAUCCGACAAGGACUUCGUGGACAUCCUCUUCGGCUUCCUCACGCUGCCGCUCGGCACGAUCGUCCGUCUCUUUGACAAGCAGUCCCAGAUCGGGUGCCUCGACGAGCUGUACAGGAGCGUGGAGAGCCUCGGGGAAGAGCACUUCCAGACCAGGCACUGCAGGACCAUGCUUCUUCGCCCCGUCAAUGCCGCGGCGGCUCACUGCGACCGGCUCAAGGUCAAAGUGGACGCCGAUCAGACAGGGAUACACGUCUGCCUUUAUCGUUCGAGCUCGAGCUGUGGUACUGGUACAGGGUACUUCAGCUCAAUCCGUGAUGUUAGUUGCAAGUGUGGCAGCAUCAUGAGAGACAUUAGGAGAUGGCCACAUAGUUCUCCUGAAGCUACUGAAGGCAGUGCUGUAGAUGGGGUUUUCUCCAAAGGUGGCUCCAAGUUCAUCGUCACGGAUGAUCUCCAAGUUGCUCCUUCCUCUACAACUCUCAUGUUUUCUCUGAUCGACAAGCUUGGGCUGCAGGAACCACUGAAUAUCAAGGAGGAGGUGCUCCAACUCAAUUCCAAUAAGAUAAUUAGCUUGCUUAGGAGGGCGCUGCUGUCUAAGCAACCUUUGACAGGCCUAUAUUUCGAUGUCGCUAUUGCGCCGAAUUGGGCGAGUUUUUAUCGGCUUCCUGAGAAACUGUUAACAACACAAGCAAUUGUGGCUGAUCCCAAGUUCCAACCUAUAAAGAUAAGGCUUGUUCAGGCAAGGGAUGAUUCCUCUGUGUUGUAUGCUGAAGUUCAGCAAGACCUGGUUGAUCUUCUGUUUGGCCUCCUCUGCAUUCCUGUUGGAUCUGUAAUAAAGACUUACGGUCAAUUGUCACCAGACGGAUGUCUUCAUAAUAUCUACAACAGUGUGAAUGUAGCUGGAUGUGUCAAACAAGAAUGCAAAAGCUUGCUUCUAUCACCAAAGCUGCCCCCUUUCUUUGGGUGCAGCAGCAACGUGCUCCAAGUUGAAGAAUUAUAUCCAAGGUCGCAUCACUCUCCUUCGAAUUAUCUCAGCGAGCUGAAUCCAAAAUCCCCAUACCGGGGACGUGACACUGGUUAUACAAGUUAUGUCAACUUAGGGUCCAUCAACUUCAUGGUGACCGAUGACCUGCGCAUCGUCGAUUUCUCCCUGGCCAGGAGUCUCCAGGCCAUACGUUCGGCAAAGAUUCCGAACGGGGAGCUCGUGGAGAAAGAGCUAACUCUUGACAAAACCCAGGUUCUGAAGCUGCUAAGAGCUGCAACGGCUACCCGCAAUGCGCUCAGCAGCGUGCUCUUGCCUCCACCAAAGUAUGCUGCGACAACCUCAACUCAAACCACCCCAUCGUCAGGCCUCCAGCUGAGGAGGAGUUUGCGACUCCGGAAGCUCAUCCAGCCAGGAGAGUGA
RNAcentral lists this ribosomal RNA (1479 nucleotides) under Triticum aestivum (bread wheat). Its description in RNAcentral is "partial small subunit ribosomal RNA". The record is from RNAcentral. Lineage: Eukaryota; Viridiplantae; Streptophyta; Magnoliopsida; Poales; Poaceae.